CGUGCCUACGGGGGGCAGCAGGAGGGAAGCUUCCACAAUGGGCGAAAGCCUGAUGGAGCAACGCCGCGUGGGGGAAGAAGGUCUUCGGAUCGUAAAACCCUGUUGUUAGAGAAGAAAGUGCGUGAGAGUAACUGUUCACGUUUCGACGGUAUCUAACCAGAAAGCCACGGCUAACUACGUGCGAGCAGCCGGGGUAAUACGUAGGUGGCAAGCGUUAUCCGGAUUUAUUGGGCGUAAAGGGAACGCAGGCGGUCUUUUAAGUCUGAUGUGAAAGCCUUGGGCUU
RNAcentral lists this ribosomal RNA (284 nucleotides) under uncultured bacterium. Its description in RNAcentral is "partial 16S ribosomal RNA". It matches the Rfam family "Bacterial small subunit ribosomal RNA", at positions 334 to 610 of the family's 1533-position model. The record is from RNAcentral.